Small nucleolar RNA from Lathyrus oleraceus (garden pea), 85 nucleotides. RefSeq annotates it as small nucleolar RNA SNORD34. NCBI's taxonomy places the organism in Eukaryota, Viridiplantae, Streptophyta, Magnoliopsida, Fabales, Fabaceae. The record is from RefSeq and is a predicted model, not a curated record. The transcript has a single exon.
UGAGGUCAGUGAUGUCUUUCAUUUGCCUACAUUGGCUGAUUAUCUAGAUUAUGAUGUAUUUACAAUUAAAUGACCUGAGACCUCU